Molecule: non-coding RNA, 72 nt
Organism: Baffinella frigidus
Lineage: Eukaryota; Cryptophyceae; Cryptomonadales; Baffinellaceae
Source: the annotation of a GenBank genome assembly
GCCCUCGUGGCUUAGUGGUAGAGCGUCCAUCUUUUGAACGGUUGGUCGUGGGUUCGAAUCCCUCCGGGGGCA